Molecule: long non-coding RNA, 226 nt
Filed under: Nicotiana benthamiana
Lineage: Eukaryota; Viridiplantae; Streptophyta; Magnoliopsida; Solanales; Solanaceae
Description: long non-coding RNA (NBEN_LNC011016)
Source: RNAcentral
CGGUAUAGGCUUCAAACACGAGCCAAAAGAAAAAGUUGAGUCCAUUCCUAAACCACCUAAGACUCAACUUAGGCCAAACAAAAUAAAUGUCAUCACUUAACCUAGAAAUUUUAAUCCUAGAAUUGCUUCUCAUUCUAGAACAAAUGCUAGGAGAAAUAUUGGAAUGUAUAGACCACCUAGACAAGAUUUUCGAAAAGCACAUCAAAACUAUAUUUCUAAAAAUGUA